RNAcentral lists this ribosomal RNA (494 nucleotides) under uncultured bacterium. RNAcentral's name for it is "partial 16S ribosomal RNA". It matches the Rfam family "Bacterial small subunit ribosomal RNA", at positions 28 to 507 of the family's 1533-position model. The record is from RNAcentral.
GACGAACGCUGGCGGCGUGCCUAAUACAUGCAAGUCGAACGGUUUAGUUCCAAGAGGCAAGACUCUUGGAACUAAGCAGUGGCGGACGGGUGAGUAACACGUAGGCAACCUACCUGUCAAACCGGGAUAACCUCGGGAAACCGAAGCUACACCCGGAUAAGCUCCUUUUUCGCAUGAAGGGGGAGUGAAAAGGUGCGCCCUGAAGACAGAUCGGCCUGCGGCGCAUUAGCUAGUAGGUAGGGUAACGGCCUACCUAGGCGAUGAAGCGUAGCCGACCUGAGAGCGCGUACGGCCAGACUGGGACUGGGCUCCGGCCCAGACGCCUACGGGAGGCAGCAGUAGGGAAGCUUCGGCAACGAGCGAAAGCCUGACCGAGCAACGCCGCGUGAGUGAGGAAGGCAUUCGGGUUGUAAAACUCUGUUGUUUGGGAAGAAGGGAAAGGGUAGGACCCCUUGGUGACGGUACCAAACGAGAAAGCGACGGCUAACUACGUG